RNAcentral lists this ribosomal RNA (500 nucleotides) under uncultured bacterium. RNAcentral describes it as "partial 16S ribosomal RNA". It matches the Rfam family "Bacterial small subunit ribosomal RNA", at positions 30 to 523 of the family's 1533-position model. The record is from RNAcentral.
AUUGAACGCUGGCGGCAUGCCUUACACAUGCAAGUCGAACGGCAGCACGGGAGCAAUCCUGGUGGCGAGUGGCGAACGGGUGAGUAAUGUAUCGGAACGUGCCCAGUCGUGGGGGAUAACGUAGCGAAAGCUACGCUAAUACCGCAUACGAUCUAUGGAUGAAAGCGGGGGACCGUAAGACCUCGCGCGAUUGGAGCGGCCGAUAUCAGAUUAGGUAGUUGGUGGGGUAAAGGCCUACCAAGCCGACGAUCUGUAGCUGGUCUGAGAGGACGACCAGCCACACUGGGACUGAGACACGGCCCAGACUCCUACGGGAGGCAGCAGUGGGGAAUUUUGGACAAUGGGCGCAAGCCUGAUCCAGCAAUGCCGCGUGCAGGAUGAAGGCCUUCGGGUUGUAAACUGCUUUUGUACGGAGCGAAAAGGCCCUCUCUAAUACAGGGGGCUCAUGACGGUACCGUAAGAAUAAGCACCGGCUAACUACGUGCCAGCCGCCGCCGUAA